UAGGGAAUCUUCGGCAAUGGGGGGAACCCUGACCGAGCAACGCCGCGUGAGUGAAGAAGGUUUUCGGAUCGUAAAGCUCUGUUGUAAGAGAAGAACGUGUGUGAGAGUGGAAAGUUCACACAGUGACGGUAACUUACCAGAAAGGGACGGCUAACUACGUGCCAGCAGCCGCGGUAAUACGUAGGUCCCGAGCGUUGUCCGGAUUUAUUGGGCGUAAAGCGAGCGCAGGGGGUUGUAUAAGUCUGAAGUAAAAGGCAGUGGCUCAACCAUUGUGUGCUUUGGAAACUGUACAACUUGAGUGCAGAAGGGGAGAGUGGAAUUCCAUGUGUAGCGGUGAAAUGCGUAGAUAUAUGGAGGAACACCGGUGGCGAAAGCGGCUCUCUGGUCUGUAACUGACACUGAGGCUCGAAAGCGUGGGGAGCAAACA
This 427-nucleotide ribosomal RNA is filed under the name uncultured prokaryote. RNAcentral's name for it is "bacterial SSU rRNA". It matches the Rfam family "Bacterial small subunit ribosomal RNA", at positions 355 to 774 of the family's 1533-position model. The record is from RNAcentral.